AUACGAAGGGUGCUAGCGUUGUUCGGGAUCACUGGGCGUAAAGCGCGCGUAGGCGGCUUAAUAAGUCAGAGGUGAAAGCCUGGAGCUCAACUCCAGAACUGCCUUUGAAACUGUUAAGCUGGAGUGUCGGAGGGGAUAGCGGAAUUGCUAAUGUAGAGGUGAAAUUCGUAGAUAUUAGCAGGAACACCGGUGGCGAAGGCGGCUAUCUGGACGACAACUGACGCUGAGGCGCGAAAGCGUGGGGAUC
Molecule: ribosomal RNA, 247 nt
Filed under: uncultured bacterium
Lineage: Bacteria
Description: partial 16S ribosomal RNA
Rfam family: Bacterial small subunit ribosomal RNA
Source: RNAcentral